Molecule: non-coding RNA, 72 nt
Organism: Trichonephila inaurata madagascariensis
Lineage: Eukaryota; Metazoa; Arthropoda; Arachnida; Araneae; Nephilidae
Source: the annotation of a GenBank genome assembly
AUUCCUGUAGAGCAAUGGAUAGCGUGUUGGAUUUCUAAUCCAACCAGGUGGGUUCAAAUCCCACCUGGGAUG